GACGAACGCUGGCGGCGUGCUUAACACAUGCAAGUCGAACGGAAAGGCCCUGCUUUUGUGGGGUGCUCGAGUGGCGAACGGGUGAGUAACACGUGAGUAACCUGCCCUUGACUUUGGGAUAACUUCAGGAAACUGGGGAUAAUACCGGAUAGGAGCUCCUGCUGCAUGGUGGGGGUUGGAAAGUUUCGGCGGUUGGGGAUGGACUCGCGGCUUAUCAGCUUGUUGGUGGGGUAGUGGCUUACCAAGGCUUUGACGGGUAGCCGGCCUGGGAGGGUGACCGGCCACAAUGGGACUGAGAGACGGCCCAGACUCCUACGGGAGGCAGCGGGGGGGAAUAUGACACAGUGGGCGGGAGCCUGAUGCGGCAACGCCGGGUUCGGGAUGACGUCCUUCGGGGUAUAAACCGCUGUCGCCUGUGACGAAGCGUGAGUGACGGUAAUGAGUAAAGAAGCACCGGCUAACUACGUG
Molecule: ribosomal RNA, 468 nt
Filed under: uncultured bacterium
Lineage: Bacteria
Description: partial 16S ribosomal RNA
Rfam family: Bacterial small subunit ribosomal RNA
Source: RNAcentral